ACCUAAUGAUGUGGACAUUUAUGAAGGAGGUCCUAAAAUCGCUCCCAGGUCUCAAAGAAAAGUUCCCCAUCCAUGUGUGAAAAACUUGUGAUAGUUCUCUAAAGCU
Molecule: small nucleolar RNA, 106 nt
Organism: Malania oleifera
Lineage: Eukaryota; Viridiplantae; Streptophyta; Magnoliopsida; Santalales; Ximeniaceae
Source: RefSeq, a predicted model, not a curated record